This 835-nucleotide ribosomal RNA is filed under the name uncultured bacterium. RNAcentral describes it as "bacterial SSU rRNA". It matches the Rfam family "Bacterial small subunit ribosomal RNA", at positions 45 to 892 of the family's 1533-position model. The record is from RNAcentral.
UGGAUUAGGCAUGCAAGUCGAACGGAAACGAUGGGAGCUUGCUCCCAGGCGUCGAGUGGCGAAAGGGUGAGUAACGCGUGAGUAACUUACCCCAAGGUUGGGGAUAGCCCCGGGAAACUGGGAUUAAUACCGAAUGUGGCGGUCUGCUUUCGGGCGGAUUUGCUAAAGAUUUAUUGCCUUGGGAUUGGCUCGCGUCCGAUUAGCUUGUUGGUGGGGUAAUGGCCUACCAAGGCUUCAACCGGUAGGUGGUCUGAGAGGACGAUCACCCACACUGGGACUGAGACACUGCCCAGACUCCUACGGGAGGCUGCAGUCGAGAAUCUUCCGCAAUGCGGGAAACCGUGACGGAGCAAUGCCGCGUGAGGGAUGAAGGCCUUCGGGUCGUAAACCUCUGUCACCCGGGAUGAAUUAUGACAGUACCGGGAGAGGAAGCCACGGCUAACUACGUGCCAGCAGCCGCGGUAAUACGUAGGUGGCAAGCGUUAUUCGGAUUCAUUGGGCGUAAAGGGUCCGCAGGGGGUUUGGUAAGUUUGGUGUGAAAUGCCAGGGCUCAACCUUGGACAUGCAUUGAAAACUGCCAGACUAGAGUGCAGGAGAGGAGAGUGGAAUACCAGGUGUAGCGGUGGAAUGCGUAGAUAUCUGGUAGAACACCGAUGGCGAAGGCAGCUCUCUGGACUGCUACUGACCCUCAUGGACGAAAGCCGGGGGAGCGAACAGGAUUAGAUACCCUGGUAGUCCCGGCCGUAAACGUUGUACACUAGGUGUUGGGGGAUUUGACCCCCUCAGCGCCCCAGCUAACGCGAUAAGUGUACCGCCUGGGGAGUACGGCGGCAAC